AGACCCAAACUCAUACUAGAUUAAUAACAUGAACCUUAAAAAAUAAUAAUAUAGGCCCAACGUGAAUGAGACAUAGGCCCAAACGAUUGUGCCUUGAACCCACAUUGGUUCCAUUCGUCAUGCACACAAGAAAGGCUCUAGCGGUCGAGUCCCAAUGGAUGCAUAAAGCCCGGUUCUCACAACUUUCUAGUUAUUAUAUCCAAUUGCAUAAAUUCCUUUCAUGUUGAAUGUUGAUUUUUCUUCAAGUACUUGUUUCAAACAAUUUAUGAGAGACAAGUGAACUGCUUAUUUUCGGCUAAUGAUUACCCAAAGCAGAAAUAGACUAAAGUUUCCUAUCUAACACCAAACAACGAUAUUAAUACAAAAUCUAAUUAAUCAAUACUUAACUAAUAUGGACUACUGGGAUAGACAUGCAAACAGGAACUCUUUUAUGAUUGCUAGAAAUUAAAUUACAAUACUGGAUUCAAAUGCUCUUCCAUAGGCACAAACUCGACUGAUGAUCCAUAGGCUAAUAAUAAGUCCCAAAACAGUCCGGUUAACUCAAGAAUAUUAAGAUGUUCCCUUAGUAUUCCCAGAUAAUUCCAUUAUAAACUGAACACAAGACACCUGAGCUUCUCAUGUGAAACAGGUAAGACUAAUUGGCUUGCACGUUGAUUUUUAACUACUGGAAAUUCAAUUUUAUUACACUAAGACUGCCAAUUUUUAAAAAAAUAACAUUCAGAUCUAAAGUCCUAUAAUAUAGUUCAUAUAAUUCAAUACAAAAAAAUAACAUAUCAUAUCACAGAAUCCAUCUAAGUUAUAAUAGAGAUUAACAUGAGAGCAAAAUUGCAACAGGAACAUAGAUCCAAUUCAUUUCAUACGUCCACCUCAAAAUUACAUCAACUUGGGAUUCGAUUGUGUUCCUGGUUUUCGAAUUACAGCAAAAGAAGAAUGAGUCAGCAAAAGCAGGUGAACAGCAGCAGUAGCAAAAGGCAAGUUUUAGUAGUACAAAACCAUACACAUCCUAUAGAACGAAUACAAAAAUCCCAGGAAGGUUGAUAAGUCAAAUGCAACCAGUAAAUUGAACCAAACAGCCCAAAAUGCACUCAGUCACACCAGCAAAAUAACAGCACAUCUACACAGCCCCAAAUCUCACUUAAAACCAAUCUAAUUAGACUCAAAAUCACUCGGAAUCAACCCAGAAACCCUUCUGAAUAUCAACAAUCAAAUAGUAGACCGGAGAAUGUGAAUUAACAACUAGAACAUCAAAAUUGACCUAUACUUUCCUAUGAAAUGAUGAUUUUCUUUUUUGCUUUUUGAAUUUUUUGUUGUUUUUUUGUUUGUUUUGAAGUAUUGGAUCUAAGAUUUCGAUUUUGAAAUCCAAAUCAAGAAAUCAGAUCUGCAGAGACUGGAUUCUGGGGUUAAUUGUGUGGGAUCCAAACUUGUUAGUGAAGCAAAGAUCAUGCCCUUUUAUAGGCACAAUCAUAUUUUCAAUUUUCUUUUACUCCCUCCUAAUUUUCAGUUGUUGUCCAUCAUUUUUAACCUUGUUAUUUAAGGAAACAACCUGAGUUUACUAAUAAAUUCACUAGGGUCCUAUUCUGGUAAGGUCUACACUAUUCUAGUGUGAUUUACCAUGUUCUAACCAAUACCAAAUACCUAAACUACUCUUUAAUACCUCUAAAAUUACUUAUCCUAACCCCCUACCUAAAAUUAUCUAGUUAAAAAACUUUAUCAAACUAAACACACAGCAAAGUGAUCAAUUGCUGAUGAAUUAAGCCAUUCAAUCAAAAACUUGAAACCAACUGAACUUAAUCAGAGUUAAUAACCAAAUAACAUUUCAAACUAUUACUAACUAAACAGAAUUACAAUUGAGACUAAAAUAACGAGUCAUUAUUCAAGCAGCAAAAUCGAAACAAAUCUAACUUUUAACAGAAUGAAUAACAAUUAACGCCUAAAACUAAUUAUGAAUCAAAUAGACAAGGGUGAAAAUGAAGCAGAAGUAAAGGAGAGUCAAUAAUUUCGGACUGACAAUUUUACUAAACAAAAUUAAGAAGCUACAUAGACAUGGAAGUUCAGUAAGCAUUAAGAGAAACAAAAUAAAAGAAACUAAACUCGAAGACUCACCAACGCCCUUCAAGACUCUGGUCAAAUGGCUUUCCAAAUUCAGCAAAUUCAGACGAUGUUUGGACUCUAAUGAUGAUCAAUUUCCCACCAGGAAGUCCCAGGGAUCUUAUCGUACUCACUCAAUCAAGAUUGGAUUAAUUAGUGUUUUGGCCGGAAAAAUUAAAAAAUUGAUAUUCAGGCACUUCCGGCCAGAUUCGAGAUGAGUGGUUAUGGGGGUUGGAUUGAGGGUGCUCUGGCGAACCUAGGAUAUUAUUUUGGUGUCGUUUGGGGUGAGUGGCAUCAUGGUAGGAGAUAUUUCAAACGGAGAUUUGAGGGCAUGGGGUGGGAUUUGAAGGAUAUGGACUAGGGAUUCGAGAUAAGGGAGACGAGGAGAGGUUGGGGUGUUAUGUUGGGAUGGGUUGGUAAAAGCGGCGUUCGCCGCCGGCGGCUCCGCCGGUGGAGAUGCAGAGACUGGUACGAGGAAGGUAACAUUGGUCUUUAGGGUUAGACUAAAUUUUGGACAUUUUUAUUAAAAUGGCUUGAAU
Molecule: long non-coding RNA, 2627 nt
Filed under: Nicotiana benthamiana
Lineage: Eukaryota; Viridiplantae; Streptophyta; Magnoliopsida; Solanales; Solanaceae
Description: long non-coding RNA (NBEN_LNC038446)
Source: RNAcentral